RNAcentral lists this ribosomal RNA (372 nucleotides) under uncultured organism. Its description in RNAcentral is "bacterial SSU rRNA". It matches the Rfam family "Bacterial small subunit ribosomal RNA", at positions 526 to 896 of the family's 1533-position model. The record is from RNAcentral.
CAGAGGGUGCAAACGUUGCUCGGAAUCAUUGGGCGUAAAGCGCACGUAGGCGGCCCAGCAAGUGGGGAGUGAAAGCCCUCGGCUUAACCGAGGAAGUGCUUUCCAAACUACUGGGCUUGAGUACUGAAGAGGGUCGCGGAAUUCCCGGUGUAGAGGUGAAAUUCGUAGAUAUCGGGAGGAACACCAGUGGCGAAGGCGGCGACCUGGGCAGAUACUGACGCUGAGGUGCGAAAGCGGGGGGAGCAAACAGGAUUAGAUACCCUGGUAGUCCACGCCGUAAACGAUGAGUGCUAGAUGUCGCGGGUAUUGACCCCUGCGGCGUCGAAGUUAACGCAUUAAGCACUCCGCCUGGGGAGUACGGCCGCAAGGCUA